CCCGGGCGGGGGCUUUGGUAAUGAAAAGCGUUUCCAUCUUCUUGUCGAGCGGACGCAAGGUUUCAGUAAACUCGAAAAAGCCCGCCGGUGAACAGGUUCAGAAGCGUAGGCGCAGAAAGUUGACCGACGAGGCGAGCAUGAAAGCUUACCACGCGAAAGUCGUCGAGGCUUUGAAGAAGAAGACGCGAUUUUCCCGCGCCGAGCUCGAGGCACUUUGCAAAAUUUACCGGAAAAUCACGACCGUGCCAGCGGCGAAAAUCGGGACGACUUUAUUCACCAAAGGCGCGCCGCAGACCGUCCAAACAGUCGAGGGCAUCGAUAGAACGAUUUUCCGCGAACUGUUGCACAACACUUUCGAUAUCAUCACAGAGGACGCAUUGAUUGAGCGAAUGUUCUGCUGUUGGGAUCGUGACAGCGAAGGCGCAAUCAGACUCGAAUCCUGGAUUAUGGGUUUGGAUGUUUUUGUUCGAGGAACUUUGAGGGAUAAAAUGGAGUUUUGUUUCCGAGUUUACGAUUUGAAUGGCGAUGGUUUUAUUACUAAAGAUGAAAUGUUUCUAUUACUCAAGAACUGCCUGAUAAAGCAACCGGGCGAAGAAGAUCCAGACGAAGGAGUGAGAGACUUAUCAGAACUAAUUCUCAAGAAACUCGACGUGGAUCACGACGGAAAAGUCUCUUUCAGCGACUACGAGAGUGUGAUCAAAGAGGAGCCAUUGUUAUUAGAAGCAUUCGGCCAGUGCUUACCCACAGAGGAAAGUUGCUCGGCUUUUCUAACGACCCUGCAGCCAUAAAAAAUAUAUAAAUAAUUAUUACAUGGAUUCGUUAUUACAAAAUUAAUUAAUAUCACGUGACAAAAAUAUUUACCAAUUAAGUUUCUCCAUCCACCGACACAGAACUUUAUCUCGGCUAUUAAAUCCCGUAAGAGUGAUAUUAGAGUGUCAUGUUUUCAUACGAAGGACAAUUAAUUUUAAGUCGCGAUAAGCUAGAAGUAUAUUUAAGUUGUCGGUUUAUUCGAAUGUUAGUCAUCACCUAUAACUCAAUAGUCGACACACUUUUAAUAUUAAAAAUUCAUCUGCCGAUUGGACAUACGUCAGCCAAUCGGUUCUUGGUAUAAUAGUUAAUAUUUAAUUGUCGUUAAGUGCUUGGAUCUAUUCCGUGCUGGCGAAUAAUAAUUUAAACAUGGAACAUAUUUCUCUAAAAUAAUUGUUUGUUGUAAUUAUCAGUAACCUUGCGAAGAUAUUUAAAACAAGUUAUUUCGCAGACUGGAUUAUUCGACAAAAUGCGACCGCUAGAUCUCAUCGGUUUCCUCCUCGUCUUAACUCUUUGGAGUGUUAACUCUCAAGAAGAUUUUGAUAAAAAUGAGCCGAGGCAAAAGUACGACCCGAAUUCGCUGGAGAUGAAUAAAAAACUGAUGACGCUCUUUUUGAGACUCGCUUAUCAGACAGCGAACCGAUGGAUUACUUUGAAAAAUUUAGAAAAGAGCAGAGCGGAACAGCGGAUUGACACUGAGCUGCAAAAUAUCACGAUCAGUGAGAUAAUGAAAACGCAGGAGAAAAAUGAUUCAGAAAAACCGGGCGAGAUUCAAAGCAGAUUUUUUUUCCCAACAGAAACCAGAGCUUUGUUUGAUAAAAUAAAUCCAAUUAGUGUUUUGUCUCGGAGUGCGAGCAAUUUAGUUAAUAAUCCGAAAGAAUUUGCACCAAAUUUGGGUCAGACUUUGGUCGAUCUCGGCAACAAAGCUCUUGACAGCAUGAACUCAUCAGUUAGAAUUAUUUCUGAUCAAAACUCUCUUCUGAAUGCCACGAGUUUGCAAAACGCGACUGAAGUUGUCAAUAGAAUAGCCGAGGAAAUUCCUGUCGGAGAUUCCAACAACAGCUCGGCUCCGUCUUUGAGAUUUUUGGGUGACAUGGAAAACAACAGUUCCAGUUCGAGUGUAAAUUCUGACAGCAACCCGACCAAUGACGCUGAUAAAAUAGAACAGAGGAACGGAGCUUUGGAAAUUUCUACAGUCGAGCCCAAGUCGGAAUCGACGACCACUUCGGACAUCACCAAAAGGGAAACAUCGAUCCAAUUGGAGCCGUCGACAGGGGAAAUUUUGCCGAUAGCGAAGAAGUUUUUGGGAUAAAACAGCUCAGAGAUCCAAGAUCGUCCUCGUUUAUUGAGAGCGAUGAACUUUUUGAGUUCAAAGAAGACGAUUCCCAAGACCUGGAGCCUUUGAUUUCAAAUUUGAAACUCAGCGAAAUCGUUGAUCAAAUUUCCGGCAUUCUUAUAUAAUCAUUAUACUUUUAUAAAUUUAUUUGUUUUUAUUUAUAGAAUUUUUUUUUUAGUUGCCAUAAAAAUAUCAAUUAAGUUAA
Microplitis mediator is the source of this 2348-nucleotide RNA transcript. RefSeq lists it as uncharacterized. Lineage: Eukaryota; Metazoa; Arthropoda; Insecta; Hymenoptera; Braconidae. The record is from RefSeq and is a predicted model, not a curated record. The transcript has 5 exons.